Molecule: long non-coding RNA, 2526 nt
Organism: Equus caballus (horse)
Lineage: Eukaryota; Metazoa; Chordata; Mammalia; Perissodactyla; Equidae
Source: Ensembl
UGGGUUCCUCCCAACUGGAGGAAGAGGCAGAGGCAUCUACAUCACAGGCUGUUUGUUGUAGGUUGAUUCAUGAGCAUACAUAGCCUUAGAACCAGCAAAUUGACAAAUCUACACCUUGAGUUAGGAGGUGGAAGAAUCCAACCAGCGCAGAGCAUCUCUGAUAAGUUACCAAAGACUUGAAAAUGCCACUCAGAAAUAAGGAUGCUGGGGUAGGUAAGGCCUGUCCUCCCCCAGGAACCCCCAGUAGCAUGGUUUGGGAUUACUAUUUUCUCAUAUUCCGCCCCAAAUCACUACCCUUAGUGAAGCUUGUCUGGAUUAGACAGAAAAGGCCUCUGCUACAAAUAUGAGGCCACCUGGAAGGAUGGAUCUCAGGGGGGGUGACAUUUUGCAGCCUUCUACAGUCUCUAUCCCCAGUAGUCUGGGUAAUGCUUGUGAACCGAGUUAUUGGGAAGAACAUGGAAUUUGGAGUCAGGAGAGCGACGUUCUAACCAUUAUCUACUAAAUCUCUAAGUUCUCUUCUAGUUCUAAAAAUAUGUAUAAAAAGAGUAGAUCUUUAAAGAGAAAACCCAGGGCUGGACUGCCAAAUAGGUGACAGAAAAGUGAUCCAAUUCUACCCCAUAGGGACUUAGGUCACACUCCUUCAUCUGGAGCCCAUAUAGAGCCUCAAAAUCCUUCUCUACCCACUCCUUUGGGCAACUUCUGCAAAACGCUCUGAAUCAGCCCCUGAGCUGAACCUUCUUUGCCAUCCCUGAAGCCAUCGUCUUGGACUGUGAUGAUGUUCACAAAGAUUGGGAAGCUUUUCCUGCAAAUCUUCACCCGGAUCUGGGAAAAUUCUGCUCUCUGCCUGAGGGAUGCAGAUGAGGACAGUCCUGCUCCUUUGUGUGGCUUUGGAGGGCGUACAGGAUACAGAGAGAACGUGACUUGAAGAAAUGACGCUGUCUGUGAGUCCAGUUUAUUUGUGGACUCCUGAGGCUUGAGUGUAACCAGAGUAAAAUAAACGUAUAUAUGGAAACUGUAUCUGUGAAUUGCAUCCUAACCACUGUUUCCAUCUCUUUCUCUUUGCCUUUUAAUAUAGUUGAAAUGUCCCAAUAUGAGCUAGAAAACGUCUGUGUUUGUUGAUGAAAUCCAAUUGUAUGGAUAUGAUGGUGUUCAUAAAUCCUCUAAAUUCAGUGCUCUGGAAUUUUCCCAGAUUGAAAUCAAAUACACUCCUGCCUGGCUCUCAAAUUCCAAGUCAGUGGUAUCUCCCACCACACACAGCCUGUCCGUGACAUUCCUGUGGGAGGUUAUCACAAUGCAGGGACUGUGUGAGUACUCAGGGCUUAUCUAAUCAUGUUUGCUUGACACUUGUUUUACUGUGUCCAGAUCUCACCAGCUGAUCAAGUGACCGGACUGUCUAGUGAGCUGGAAAAAAAGAGAGCUUCCUACAGAUGCUUGCCCUUGUUUUAAACUCAUUCUCCGGCAAGUUAGAGGAGUUUCAUCUCACAGCUUGGACUACAUCAUUCCUGGUCAAUCACUGCCUUGGAAACCUGAGCCCUAUCCUAGCUCUCUAGUUUCAGGGAACAUUCCUGAAUGGGGCAGGUGUUUGGUCAAGAUGAUUCUUAAGGUCUUUUCCAAUUCUCCGUUUUGUGGAUGCUGAGAUCUACUUGCCACAGCAUGUAGCACAGUUCCUCCCUGUUCCCUACAACCCAAAUUGGCAUUCAAUAAAUAUUUGUGGGAUGAAUGAAUGAGUGGAUGAAUAAAUGAACAAACGGACAGAAUUGUCAACUGAUUACAGCCCCAAGUCCUUCUCCCAGUUCGUCCCUGGAAAACCAUUUUGUUUUGGGUAAAAACUCUUGCAGAAAGGACUCCUGGUACCCAAAACCCUCCCCGACAUGCCAGAGUUCCAGUGAUAGGCAAACAACCGUAUCUACUCUAGGGUUUCUCAUGCCGUGGAGAUGUAACUGAUACCCUUCAAAGCAAAAGAGGUUACCAUUUCCACCUCUUAGGAUGGCUACUAUUAAAAAAACGGAAAAUAACAAGUGUUGGUGAGGAUGUGGAGAAAUUGGAACUCUUGUACAUUGCUGAUGGAAAUGCAAAAUGGUACAGCUGCUGUGGGAAACAGGCAGUUUCUGAAAAAGUUAAGCAUAGAAUAACCAUAUAACCCAGAAAUUCCACUCCUAGGUAUAUCCUCAAAAGAAUUGAGGGGUCACCCUGGUGGCACAGUGGUUAAGUUCUCAUGUUCCGCUUUGGUGGCCCAGGGUUCGCCGGUUCAGAUCUUGGGUGUGGACCUAUGCACCACUCAUCAAGCCAUGCUGUGGCAGAUGUCCCACAUAUAAAAUAGAAAAGAUGUUCACAGAUGUUAGGUCAGGGCCAAUCUUCCUCAGCAAAAAGAGAAGGAUUGGCAGCAGAUGUUAGCUAAGGGCUAAUCUUCCUCAAAAAAAAAAAAAAAGUCAAAUUUCCUUAAAAAAAAAAAAAAGAAUUGAAAGCAGGAACUCAGGUACUUUUACAUGAAUGUUCAUAGGAAUAAUAUUCACAAUUGUCAAAAAG